GUCCAUGUAGCGCAAUGGAUAGUGCGUUGGACUUCUAAUUCAAAUAUUGUGGGUUCAAAUCCCACUUUGGAUG
Molecule: non-coding RNA, 73 nt
Organism: Trichonephila clavata
Lineage: Eukaryota; Metazoa; Arthropoda; Arachnida; Araneae; Nephilidae
Source: the annotation of a GenBank genome assembly